This 253-nucleotide ribosomal RNA is filed under the name uncultured bacterium. Its description in RNAcentral is "partial 16S ribosomal RNA". It matches the Rfam family "Bacterial small subunit ribosomal RNA", at positions 524 to 776 of the family's 1533-position model. The record is from RNAcentral.
UACGGAGGGAGCUAGCGUUGUUCGGAAUUACUGGGCGUAAAGCGCGCGUAGGCGGCUUUGUAAGUUAGAGGUGAAAGCCCGGGGCUCAACUCCGGAACUGCCUUUAAGACUGCAUCGCUUGAAUCCGGGAGAGGUGAGUGGAAUUCCGAGUGUAGAGGUGAAAUUCGUAGAUAUUCGGAAGAACACCAGUGGCGAAGGCGGCUCACUGGACCGGUAUUGACGCUGAGGUGCGAAAGCGUGGGUAGCAAACAGG